This 67-nucleotide transfer RNA is filed under the name Marmota monax (woodchuck). Its description in RNAcentral is "tRNA.Ala". It matches the Rfam family "tRNA". From Rfam's summary of the family: Transfer RNA (tRNA) molecules are approximately 80 nucleotides in length. Their secondary structure includes four short double-helical elements and three loops (D, anti-codon, and T loops). Lineage: Eukaryota; Metazoa; Chordata; Mammalia; Rodentia; Sciuridae. The record is from RNAcentral.
GGUUGUGGCUCAGAGGUAGAGCGCUUGCCUAGCAUGCAUGAGGCACUGGGUUUGAUCCUCAGCACCA